CUCUCUCUGUCAUGCACAUAACACACUCUCUUUGUCACACACACAACACACACUUACUCUCUCUCUGUCAUGCGCACACAACACACACUUUCUCUCUCUCUCUCUCUCUCUCUCUCUCUCUCUCUCUGUCUCUCUCUCUCGGUCACACACAGAUGACGUGGAGGGGCAAUAGGGUGGAGGCAGGACAGAGGAGACUCCCUGUGACUCGAGUGUUUGCUUGCCAUGGGUAUCCACUGGUUGCCUUGUCUACCCCAUGAACAAACCAUCAGAUUUCCAGUAUCUCCCUGCGGAAGAACCGUGGAUAAGCACCCCUACUGCAAAUGAACUGUUGGAGAACUGUAUUAUAACAAAGUGUCAAGGUGCCGCGCUCUCAAAUGGACAAAGACUGUUCUUAAAGUGUUCAGAGGCCACCCAGAGACAGUUGUGCUGUUGCUAUGUCAUGCUUUACUGUGGAAAAGGAACUGUUGGACAUAUUGGGGGGUGCUAGCAAUGCAGGUGGAGAGAGAGAGAAGAUGCAGCGUUGUUUGGGGGUAGAUGGGGGGCUGGUUGGGUCUCUGUGCCGGUAGACCGGUAGUUUUGGGAAGGCUGGAAGAUAGAUGGAGGGUAUUGGAGGGGUUGUACCUAUAUGCAGUGACAAUUAGCCUAUAAAAGUAUAUCACGACAUAGGAAUAUUUUUCUGUUUAGUUUUCUUAUAGAGUUCUGUUACCAUAAUAUAAGGCUUUACUAAUUUUCUACGCCUGUCUAUUUUUAUGUUAUUCUGUUAGAAUAAAAGGAUGGUAUGUUAGGGGUAAUAUGAACCUGACGGCAGCCAUCUUGUUCCUCGCAGCCAUCUUGUGAUGAUUAGUAUCCAUUUUGUAAUGAUUAGACUUUUAUUAUACUGGGUUAUUAUGUAGUGAGAACUAUGUGCAUGUUAUGAUAAUUUCCUUAGCUGUUCGGCCUUGUCAAUGUACCCUGGUCCUACGCCCAGAAUAAGAUAGAAUAAGAUAAUGUCAACAAGACGGUUCAGAAACCUUGUUGUCUCCACAGAUGGUAGUUUAUUAUGACUCUGUAAGUAUUGUUAUGAGAAACUCAUGUUCCAGCUUUUCCUUGUAUUUUGCUCUGUAUAACUGUGUAAAAUGACGCGGUCCAAACGUGUCAUCCCCUUAACCCUAUGUGCUGUCAGUGUACACUAUAAGACAUGAUUACACUGUUCAAUAAAGAUGAAUUGGCUUUCGAUCAUAA
This is a long non-coding RNA of Bombina bombina (fire-bellied toad), 1221 nucleotides long. RefSeq lists it as uncharacterized. Lineage: Eukaryota; Metazoa; Chordata; Amphibia; Anura; Bombinatoridae. The transcript is spliced from 2 exons. The record is from RefSeq and is a predicted model, not a curated record.